This 30-nucleotide non-coding RNA is filed under the name Mus musculus (house mouse). The record is from RNAcentral. Lineage: Eukaryota; Metazoa; Chordata; Mammalia; Rodentia; Muridae.
UGGGCGUGUUAUCUUUUCAGUCUGAUUGUC